UAUUGGACAAUGGGCGCAAGCCUGAUCCAGCCAUGCCGCGUGAGUGAUGAAGGCCUUCGGGUUGUAAAGCUCUUUUGGCGGGGACGAUGAUGACGGUACCCGCAGAAUAAGCCCCGGCUAACUUCGUGCCAGCAGCCGCGGUAAGACGAAGGGGGCUAGCGUUGUUCGGAAUUACUGGGCGUAAAGCGAGUGUAGGUGGUUGUCCAAGUUGGAUGUGAAGCCUUAGCUCAACUCAAGAAAUGCAUUCAGACUGAUGGCAGGGACCGGAGAGGAUAGUGAAUUCCCAGUGAGUGGUAAAUCGAAAUUGGAAGACACCAGUGGCAAGGCGGCAUCUGGCGGUUCUGACAAAGCUAAA
This 355-nucleotide ribosomal RNA is filed under the name uncultured bacterium. RNAcentral describes it as "bacterial SSU rRNA". It matches the Rfam family "Bacterial small subunit ribosomal RNA", at positions 362 to 750 of the family's 1533-position model. The record is from RNAcentral.